This 506-nucleotide ribosomal RNA is filed under the name uncultured bacterium. Its description in RNAcentral is "partial 16S ribosomal RNA". It matches the Rfam family "Bacterial small subunit ribosomal RNA", at positions 28 to 523 of the family's 1533-position model. The record is from RNAcentral.
GAUGAACGCUAGCUACAGGCUUAACACAUGCAAGUCGAGGGGUAACGAGAGGAAAGCUUGCUUUCCUUGUCGACGACCGGCGCACGGGUGAGUAACGCGUAUCCAACCUGCCCCCAACUAAGGAAUAACCUUGCGAAAGUAAGACUAAUACCUUAUAAUUUCCUCAGAUGACAUCUGACGAGGAAUAAAGAUUUAUCGGUUGUGGAUGGGGAUGCGUCUGAUUAGCUUGUUGGCGGGGUAACGGCCCACCAAGGCAACGAUCAGUAGGGGUUCUAAGAGGAAGGUCCCCCACAUUGGAACUAAGACACGGUCCAAACUCCUACGGGAGGCAGCAGUGAGGAAUAUUGGUCAAUGGGCGGAAGCCUGAACCAGCCAAGUAGCGUGCAGGAUGACGGCCCUAUGGGUUGUAAACUGCUUUUAUACAGGAAUAAAGUUAGCCACGUGUGGUUAUUUGUAGGUACUGUAUGAAUAAGGACCGGCUAAUUCCGUGCCAGCAGCCGCAGUAA